This 618-nucleotide ribosomal RNA is filed under the name Bacillus thuringiensis. RNAcentral describes it as "partial 23S ribosomal RNA". It matches the Rfam family "Bacterial large subunit ribosomal RNA", at positions 1115 to 1730 of the family's 2925-position model. Lineage: Bacteria; Bacillati; Bacillota; Bacilli; Caryophanales; Bacillaceae. The record is from RNAcentral.
GCCACCAUUUAAAGAGUGCGUAAUAGCUCACUAGUCGAGUGACUCUGCGCCGAAAAUGUACCGGGGCUAAAUACACCACCGAAGCUGCGGAUUGAUACCAAUGGUAUCAGUGGUAGGGGAGCGUUCUAAGGACAGUGAAGUCAGACCGUAAGGACUGGUGGAGUGCUUAGAAGUGAGAAUGCCGGUAUGAGUAGCGAAAGACGGGUGAGAAUCCCGUCCACCGAAUGCCUAAGGUUUCCUGAGGAAGGCUCGUCCGCUCAGGGUUAGUCAGGACCUAAGCCGAGGCCGACAGGCGUAGGCGAUGGACAACAGGUUGAUAUUCCUGUACCACCUCUUUAUCGUUUGAGCAAUGGAGGGACGCAGAAGGAUAGAAGAAGCGUGCGAUUGGUUGUGCACGUCCAAGCAGUUAGGCUGAUAAGUAGGCAAAUCCGCUUAUCGCGUAUGCUGAGCUGUGAUGGGGAAGCUCCUUAUGGAGCGAAGUCUUUGAUUCCCCGCUGCCAAGAAAAGCUUCUAGCGAGAUAAAAGGUGCCUGUACCGCAAACCGACACAGGUAGGCGAGGAGAGAAUCCUAAGGUGUGCGAGAGAACUCUGGUUAAGGAACUCGGCAAAAUGACCCCG